This 663-nucleotide ribosomal RNA is filed under the name Triticum aestivum (bread wheat). RNAcentral's name for it is "partial small subunit ribosomal RNA". The record is from RNAcentral. Lineage: Eukaryota; Viridiplantae; Streptophyta; Magnoliopsida; Poales; Poaceae.
AUGUCUAGACAACCAUCCGAUGUUGUCUUGAAUAUAAAAAAGUUGAUUGGGAAACAAUUUGAUGACUGCUGGGUGCAAGGAAUGAGGAAAAGAGUCCAUUUUAGCAUCGUUGAAGGGGGGAGAGGAGAAGCUUGCGUCCAAAUCCAUGGAGUGAGAUUUUCUCCUGUUGAAAUUGCCAGUGUUAUUUUUGCAAAGCUCAAGGAUGUCGUCCUGAUGUACCAAUUUCAUCACGAAUUAAAAGCGGUGAUAAGUGUGCCCAUUUUCUUCAGUGAACAGCAAAGGGAGGCCAUAUUGUUGGCGGCAAACAAAGCGGGCUUAACGGUAUUGCAGUUAAUAGAUGAACCAACGGCGGCCGCUCUUUCUAGAGCAACAAUUAAAGAAGGUACCAUUGUUGUUUUCGACAUGGGUGCUGGAUCAUACACAGUCUCCGUACUUGGUGUGUCUGGCACAAACAUUGAGGUCAAAAGUCAAUCUGCUGACCCCAUUGUUGGUGGGGAUCAAUUCGACGAUAUAGUUCUGUACUACUUUAUUACGCAGAUCAGAAAUUUUCAUCAGGUCGACAUUCGUUCAGAUAAAUAUGCUAUGAUGUUACUUGCUGAAGCAGCGGAGCAAGCUAAAGUGGAAUUAUCAACCCAACACGAAGUCACAAUUUCCGUGUCAUGA